RNAcentral lists this long non-coding RNA (1367 nucleotides) under Nicotiana tabacum (common tobacco). RNAcentral's name for it is "long non-coding RNA (NTAB_LNC010099)". Lineage: Eukaryota; Viridiplantae; Streptophyta; Magnoliopsida; Solanales; Solanaceae. The record is from RNAcentral.
AUAAAACUAAAAAUAAGUUUGUAAAAGGCCAAAAAACUCAUAUUAUGAGCAAAAUAAUUUCCCCACUUCCAUAAGAAAAAUACAUAAAAAGGACACGUGUCAUGAUCUAUUUAGCCAUUUAUAGCCUUUAUUGUCUAUUGAUCAAAGCUUUAUUACUAUUCUAUCCAUUCGAAACAUGGACCAUCUGUUAGCCACAUGAGGUUAAUUCCGUAAUUUAAUACCCAUCACACAAAUACUCGAAUCUUUUUGGCAUUCACGCGCCUGUAUUGAAAUUACCAUUCUACCCAUCAAGACAUUAAACAACAUUCAGCCAUACAAGGUUAAUUAAGUAAAUUAUAACCAUCACCCCAUCACACAAAUACCCAAAUCCCACACGUCUUCGCAUAAGCUCUUCAAAUCGUUCCUCUUUUCCAACUCUCUUUUCUCCCCUCUAUAUAACCUCUACCUCUACAAAAAUCUUCCUCUAUCAUAUAAAAGAACUUCUCUUUCAAAUUCUUACCGCUUCAAUUCCUAUUUUUCUUUCUGUACACCUUCGAAAAUCAACUUUUCGCUCCAAUUUUGAGCUCUGAAUCAGCAGAAUUUAAGCAAACCCUAGGUUUAGAUUUUACACUCAAAGGUCUGAAUCUGAACCAAUUUUUUCAUCAUCGUCUGAUAUUGUUUCAUUAAGCAAGUUGUAAACCUCAAUAUUCCGAGUUUUAUUGCAACGAUUUCUUAUAUGAGCUGAAUCAAAGUCUAUGUCUGAAUUAUGUGCGAAUUUGCGCUACAUUAUAGUCAUUCUUUUUCCGUGUUGAGUUCUAUUGAAAAUCUUACACACUCGCACAUACACUUGAUUUUGCAUAAGCAAACUUGUCCUAAUUCUCCUGAUUUGCUUGAAUGGGAAAUAACAAUUAAUAAAAUAAAAAAAUUGGGGAGGGUGAGACUGAGGGUGCAGAAUUGAUAUUGGAUUUUUCUUCUUUAGGGGAAGAGUUAUUAUUGUUUUAUUAGGUUCUUUUAACUGUCUUGUGUCACUUACACUAUUUCACUGGCACCCUCACUACGGUCCGGCUUUGUGUACCAAGGAACCUCUGGUCUUUUAUCCUUUAGUUCUAGCUGGAGAAAUUAUUAUUUUUAUUAUUGAUGAAGGAGAUGUAUUGAAUUUGUAGAAAAUAUAGAUAACUUUUAGUGUUAGUGAACUAAUCUUUUGAAUGUUGAAUUGAGAUGGAUCUAAGUGGAGGGACUUGGAUAGUGAGUAUUCAUAUAGUCGACCCAAUUAGCUUGGGAUUGACGUGUAGUUGUUGCUGUAUUAGUAUACUUUAUGAAGGAGAUAUUGAUAAUAUCUGCUACUUUAAUCCAUUUUGUAGAGGUUUGUGUAGGGAGUUAAAAGAGGA